This 254-nucleotide ribosomal RNA is filed under the name uncultured bacterium. RNAcentral's name for it is "partial 16S ribosomal RNA". It matches the Rfam family "Bacterial small subunit ribosomal RNA", at positions 524 to 776 of the family's 1533-position model. The record is from RNAcentral.
CACGUAGGGGGCAAGCGUUGUCCGGAUUCAUUGGGCGUAAAGAGCUCGUAGGCGGUUCGAUAAGUCGGGUGUGAAACCUCCAGGCUCAACCUGGAGACGCCACCCGAUACUGUCGUGACUAGAGUCCAGUAGGGGAGCGUGGAAUUCCUGGUGUAGCGGUGAAAUGCGCAGAUAUCAGGAGGAACACCAAUUGCGAAGGCAGCUCGCUGGGACGUUACUGACGCUGAGACGCGAAAGCGUGGGGAGCAAACGGG